This is a long non-coding RNA of Cephus cinctus (wheat stem sawfly), 1495 nucleotides long. RefSeq lists it as uncharacterized. The record is from RefSeq and is a predicted model, not a curated record. Lineage: Eukaryota; Metazoa; Arthropoda; Insecta; Hymenoptera; Cephidae. The transcript has 2 exons.
UCAAAGAAGAAUAAUGCAUGAAAUUAAAGUUAUUACACAGAAGUAAAUAAUUCGCAGAACUUCCUACAUUAUUUACUUUCUGAUUGAAAGUUUCUCGGAUUUAUACCAAUUAGUAUGGCGACCCGACUAAAUUAUCCAGUUCGGAUAAAGACUUGACGAGUUCAAAUAGUAAGUGAUAAAAAUAGAAAUAUCUAGAAUCAGUGCUUAGUCAUCUGCUUGAAGAGGUUAGGGAAAAAUCGAACGAGUGUCAUAAUAAAGGAACCUGCUGGCAGCUAUAGGUUAUGUGACAGUGUGAUAUAACGACGUUAGUCAUGCUAAUGACGUUGACAGUUCUGCAACAAAGUCGAAGCGACGCUGCACAGACGCGAUUUGCAUUCGCAAUGCAUUUUUCAUCAAGAACUGUGAUGACGGUCGAAAAAUAUAUAACCGGAAAUGAUGUCUUAUUAUCAUUAUAACCAAGGGCUAGUUCAUCUUAUUGAAGUUUCAUCUCUACGAUUCCAAGUACAGCGGCAACGAUUUAUGGUGUGAUCAUUAGUGUUAGUAUAAUGAUCAUUAAAUCCGUUAGGCAGAAAAGAGCUGCCUUAUACUGGAUCAAGUAACCCUUUGAACUCGUCAUUAUCUUCGAAGUCAGUCAUCUGACUCGUGUCCAUAUAGUGGUAGUUGGAUAUAUCAUUUAUCAAGAAGUUGAUGAUUUUGUAAGACGGUAUCACAAAGGAAAAGUUUAUGGGAUUUAUGGUCGAAUCGAAAAACUACCCUGGUCUGAAAAAAAAGAUAAGGAGGCCUCAAUCCCCAUUGACGGUCGAAAAACUUUGUUUCUUAUACCAUGGUGGUUAGUUAGGAGGUUAUGGUGGUAUAAUUGCGGUUUAUUGUCUCAAUAAAUAUAUACGCUAUACUGUUGGACGGAGCAGUGGACCAGCCAGGUCUUCCUGGGAUUCGAAAUCAGCCCCUUGUUUAUAGGAGUUUUAUGGGUCUGCUUAAUAAGGUUUAUGGUAUCUUAUCUCAGGUUAGUUGCUGAUCGCCACGGAACCGGAAGGUGGCUCUAACGAUCUUGGGACUUGCGGUAGGAUAUUUUAGAAUAAGACCAAAUUUUGUCUUUUGACAAAUACACAAUAAUGGCGUCUUUACGAUGAUUGAGAAUUCAAUCACAGCUGAUCUAGUUUCUACAAAUAACGUAAUCGAAAGCCAACGUAACGCAUUCGCGUAAUCUUCUCAUUUAAGGUUAUAUAUGAUUUUACACGUGGCUGCUUCAUUGUAAGAGUCGCACGUGUAAAUAUGUAAUCAAGAUAGGACUGUAAGUGAAAUAACGUUACGGAGAGUCAUGUGGGAAAUGACGUUUGUCACGCCAUUAUAUAGCCACUUGUUAUAUGGAUGAUUGAUCGAUUUCGGAAAGGCUCGAAAUUCGUGGAAACUGCCGAAAUGUCAAAUGAAUUUCUGAGGGUUUAUAAAUAUUGGAUAAACAGAAAAUAAAUUAAUCUUGAAAAUAAGUAAAAAUCAA